Molecule: long non-coding RNA, 212 nt
Filed under: Pan troglodytes (chimpanzee)
Lineage: Eukaryota; Metazoa; Chordata; Mammalia; Primates; Hominidae
Description: long non-coding RNA NONPTRT000406
Source: RNAcentral
AGGUAAGUGAAAGGGUUUAUAUUAGUGUCACUGAAUCAAGGGCCAAUCUCAAAAUUUACUUGGGGAUUUUUCAAAGUGCACAUUUAUGUGACAUACACUAUGAAAUUUCAUUUUAGUAUAGAUUUGUGGUGGGAUACUACCAUAUAUUUUGAAAACAAACAAAUAAGCAAACAAAAAAAUGUUCCCCAAACUCACAGAAUCCCCAGGUGCUU